This 279-nucleotide unclassified non-coding RNA is filed under the name Hevea brasiliensis (rubber tree). Lineage: Eukaryota; Viridiplantae; Streptophyta; Magnoliopsida; Malpighiales; Euphorbiaceae. The record is from RNAcentral.
CUCAUUUUUUCAUUGCAAGGUAGAGAAGGCUCUGGUUUAGGAGCACUGGUUUGAAUGACUUGAGCUCCGACAGAACUCCUAUCGGCUGGAGCACUUCCUGCUUCUGUGACCUCAUUCAAUGAAUUCUUACCCUCUCGAGAUUGAUGCUUCUUCAUAACUUGUGACCUAGGUAGUGACUUCUUUGAUUGUUUUCCAGCUCCCAUGCCAAUAAAUGCAGCCAAAUCAUUCCUAGCAAGUGAGACCUUCUUCUUACAUUCCAGGUACUCAGAAAUGGCUCGA